Peromyscus maniculatus bairdii (prairie deer mouse) is the source of this 486-nucleotide non-coding RNA. The record is from RefSeq and is a predicted model, not a curated record. Lineage: Eukaryota; Metazoa; Chordata; Mammalia; Rodentia; Cricetidae.
UUAGGGUUUAUUAAGUCUGGUUUCUACCCCAGCCUUUCUGAAUGCCGCUGUUUUCACAAGCUUGAAGUUAAAGAGUAUCUCUCUCCGGGGGCUGAAGUGCCUGGCUGGGAGGUAGCUGUGAGAGAGCUGAAGCCCUGGGCAAGGAACCAGGCUUUCCUCCCCCCACAGCUCUGCUGGAAAAAGACACCACCCAAAGGAACCACUAGGAAUCACUUACCCGAGAGUACCCUGGGGGAAAAGUGGGAGCUGGCCUCCCACUGAAGACCUGAGUGCUCUUGGGUGCCAUACUUUCUCAUCACCGCUGAGUGGAGGCAGCUCUGAGCGUAAGCCAGGAUGACUACCAGCCUUCUGAGAAACCGUGAUGUGAUCCAACAGCGUGGAGCGACGCGUGCUGGAAAUGUAGGACUGCGAGUGUGCGGCCACACACUCCCGAGGGAGUAUGUUUGACAAGCAUGUCCCACGUCAAUGUAUGAAAAUUGUAAAGUA